Molecule: ribosomal RNA, 253 nt
Filed under: uncultured bacterium
Lineage: Bacteria
Description: partial 16S ribosomal RNA
Rfam family: Bacterial small subunit ribosomal RNA
Source: RNAcentral
UACGGGGGGGGCAAGCGUUGUUCGGAAUUACUGGGCGUAAAGGGCUCGUAGGCGGCCAACUAAGUCAGACGUGAAAUCCCUCGGCUUAACCGGGGAACUGCGUCUGAUACUGGAUGGCUUGAGUUUGGGAGAGGGAUGCGGAAUUCCAGGUGUAGCGGUGAAAUGCGUAGAUAUCUGGAGGAAUACCGGUGGCGAAGGCGGCGUUCUGGACCAUUACUGACACUGAAUCGCGAAAGCUAGGGGAGCAAACGGG